This 202-nucleotide long non-coding RNA is filed under the name Prunus dulcis (almond). Its description in RNAcentral is "sRNA ncRNA". The record is from RNAcentral. Lineage: Eukaryota; Viridiplantae; Streptophyta; Magnoliopsida; Rosales; Rosaceae.
UGUAUAAAAGCUUGGUCUGUUGUGCAGGAAAUGACAGCGGGCCUAGUAGUGUCUCAUAUUUUGGUAAAAAUCUAACAUGCUAGAAGAUAGGGGCUCCCAUGGAUACCAGACCAAACAAGCAAGCCACAUUAGAAAUGUAUAUCCCUCCGGCCACAACGAACUGAUGAUCCGGCAGAUUUUGUUUCUGAUUGACACUUUGCUA